This 444-nucleotide ribosomal RNA is filed under the name uncultured eukaryote. RNAcentral describes it as "bacterial SSU rRNA". It matches the Rfam family "Eukaryotic small subunit ribosomal RNA", at positions 60 to 549 of the family's 1831-position model. The record is from RNAcentral.
UGGUCACAUGUUUGCCUCAAAGAUUGAGUUCAGUAAAGCGGUUAUAGUUUAUUUGAGACUCACUCUUACAUGGAUAACUGUGGUAAUUCUAGGGCUAUUAAAUGCACCCUAGCCUGACUGCGGAAAGGUUGUGUUUGUUCGAUACAGAACCAUCCCAUACUCAGCAUGGUCUUGUGGUGACUCAUAACAACUCGAUGAAUCGUUCAAGUUUCUGACCUAUCAGCUUCCGACGGGAGGUUGUUGGCCUACGACAGUUAACGGAGAAUUGGAGUUUAAUUCCGGAGAGGGAGCCUGAGAAAGGCAACCACAUCUAAGAAAGGCAGCAGGCGCGCAAAUUACCCAAUCCCGACACGGGGAGGUAGUGACAAUAAAUAACAAUGCAGGGCCCUUUUGGGUCUUGUAAUUGGAAUGAGUACAAUUUAAAUCCCUUAACGAGGAACGAUU